CAGCCGCCACGGUAAUACGGAGGGUGCAAGCGUUAAUCGGAAUUACUGGGCGUAAAGCGCACGCAGGCGGUCUGUCAAGUCAGAUGUGAAAUCCCCGGGCUUAACCUGGGAACUGCAUUUGAAACUGGCAGGCUAGAGUCUUGUAGAGGGGGGUAGAAUUCCAGGUGUAGCGGUGAAAUGCGUAGAGAUCUGGAGGAAUACCGGUGGCGAAGGCGGCCCCCUGGACAAAGACUGACGCUCAGGUGCGAAAGCGUGGGGAGCAAACAGGAUUAGAUACCCCGGUAGUCCCUGUCUCUUAUAC
This 301-nucleotide ribosomal RNA is filed under the name uncultured bacterium. RNAcentral describes it as "partial 16S ribosomal RNA". It matches the Rfam family "Bacterial small subunit ribosomal RNA", at positions 509 to 807 of the family's 1533-position model. The record is from RNAcentral.